This is a long non-coding RNA of Scylla paramamosain (green mud crab), 2449 nucleotides long. RefSeq lists it as uncharacterized. The transcript has 5 exons. The record is from RefSeq and is a predicted model, not a curated record. NCBI's taxonomy places the organism in Eukaryota, Metazoa, Arthropoda, Malacostraca, Decapoda, Portunidae.
AGUGUGUGUAACGAGUGUAUUAAUGUGUGUGAGGGAAAUAAAGGGGUGUGAGGUAUGACGGGCCAGCCUGCCGCAGCUCACCCCUGGCCUGUUAAACCUUCCGUCAGACUUAAACUAGGCAGUGGCGGUUAGGUCUGACCAGCGGACAUGAAAGCAUAGUCAUGUGGCUCCAUUCACUGCCACGGGUGACUUAUGGUGACGAGAAAUAAAGUAAAUAUUGGCUAAUAUAUACGGACGUCCGGAUCAUGUCUGCUUAUAUUUUUAAAAAAGUUGAAUUUUGGCGGGUUUUCAUUUCACGGAAGAGUUCAUUUGUUAAUAUUUCGUCAUGCGGGUUACGUUGAAACUAAAUAUUACGAGUAUGACUAAAUAAAAAGCCGAAAUAAUGUAAAAAAAAAAAAAUAAUAAUAAUGAAGGUACCGUGGAUUGGCAACACUUACAAUGUAAACAAACAGCUGAUCACGGGUCCGGAGCGAGGCAAGGAGAUAAAAAUAAUAAUAAACGAAGGAAAUAGAGCAAAUACUCGUAGAAGGACGACAGCAGGCAGAGAGGGGCAGGAGAAGUAGCAGAAUCAGGGAAAGGCGUAUUGGUGCCAGUAAAUAAGGUGGACUUGGAAUCUCUCAGGGGAAACUACAUGUAGUAAUUGAAUUAAAAUGGCUAGAACCAGAGGAUGGGGUUGUGCGUCCCCGGGAGUUCAGAGGGUGCCGGCGCUUCAACUGAUGGUGUGGACCCAUGAGACAGAGGCUCCACCAGGUGGCCAUCAGGGACGUGAGAGGCCUCCAGCAGUAUGCCUGGAGAUACUUGUGUGUGGAUGAGGGACGCAGACUCAAGAACCACAAGUGUAGGCUGACCAAGGUAACAGGGACGUGAGGGGUCUCCAGCAGCAUGCCUGAAGAUACUUGUGUGUGGACGAGGGACACACACUCAAGAACCACAAGUCCCUGAACACCUUUCCCCCCAUGAACUGGCUGCUGUUUACUGGGACACCCUUGCAGAACAGCCUGGCGGAGCUCUGGGCCCUUCUGAACUUCCUAAUGCUGGAUAAUUUUGAGUCCUUGUCCAAUGUGAGUGAGAUGCAGGAGGGAAGUGAGGAGAGGACUCUGAGGCAGGAAUGGGAGGGCCAGGCCAUCUCCACUCUAAUGAAGAUAAGAGAGAGGGAAUGUGGGUGUGUUUGGGAGUGUUUUGGUGGCUUUGGGUAGGUUUGGGUGUGUUUGGGGAGUUUUUUAUGAUUAUUUAAAGAGGUUUUUUUGGGCUGGAGAGGAGUUUUUUUGGGCUGGAGAGGAGUUUUUUGGGCUGGAGGAGAAUUUUUUUGGGUCUGGAGAGGAGCUUUUUGGGCUGGAGAGAAAUGUUUUGGGCUGGAGAGAAGGUUAUGUUUUGGGCUGGAGAGAAGGUUUUGUGGGCUGGAGGGAAGUUUUUUGGGCUGGAGGGAAGUUUUUUGGGCUGGAGAGGAGUUUUUUGGGCUGGAGAGGAUCGUUUCAGGUCAGGUGGUUAAACACUACCGUCUAUCUAGUGGCUAUUGUAGGCUGUAUCUCUCUCUCUCUCUCUCUCUCUCUCUCUCUCUCUCUCUCUCUCUCUCUCUCUCUCUCUCUCUCUCUCUCUCUCUCUGUCUGUCUGUCUGUCUGUCUGUCUGUCUGUCUGUCUGUCUGUCUGUCUGUGUGUCGUAGUCAUGAGUGUUGGUGUAAUUGUUAUUACGAUGUAUUGUGUUGGUGCAGGAUUGUAAGGCGAGAUAGCAAGGUACACACACCACCACCCCUCACACACACACACACACACACACACAGCCCCCCUCCCCCCUUUAUCGUAACGUACAAACAGGACUAAACGUGUUACUAAUGCCAGCAAUGUAAACAAAACCACGUGACUUUGAAAUGUAAACAAAAAAGUCACGUGACCUGGUAAUGUAAACAAAACCACGUGACUUUGAAAUGUAAACAAAAAAAGUCACGUGACCAGAUAAUGUAAACAAAACCACGUGACUGAAAUGUAAACAAAAAAGUCACGUGACCAGAUAAUGUAAACAAACCCACGUGACUGAAAUGUAAACAAAAAAGUCACGUGACCAGAUAAUGUAAACAAAACCACGUGACUUUCAAAUGUAAACAAAAAAGUCACGUGACCAGAUAAUGUAAACAAAACCACGUGACUGAAAUGUAAACAAAAAAGUCACGUGACCAGAUAAUGUAAACAAAACCACGUGACUUUCAAAUGUAAACAAAAAAGUCACGUGACCAGAUAAUGUAAACAAAACCACGUGACUGAAAUGUAAACAAAAAAGUCACGUGACCAGAUAAUGUAAACAAAACCACGUGACUUUCAAAGGUAAACAAAAAAGUCACGUGACCAGAUAAUGUAAACAAAACCACGUGACUUUGAAAUGUAAACACAAGGUCACGUGACUUGCAAAUGUAAACAAAACAGGAAAAAAAACAAACAACCGCCAUCUUGAAAGCAA